UACUGCGAGUGAAGUGGGAAGAGCUCAGAUUUGAAAUCUGGCGGUUCUGGCCGUCCGAGUUGUAAUCUAGAGAAGUGUUACCUGCGCUGGGCCGUGUACAAGUCUCCUGGAACGGAGCGUCAUAGAGGGUGAGAAUCCCGUCUCUGACACGGACUACCAGGGCUUUGUGGUAUACUCUCAAAGAGUCGAGUUGUUUGGGAAUGCAGCUCAAAAUGGGUGGUAAACUCCAUCUAAAGCUAAAUACUGGCGAGAGACCGAUAGUGAACAAGUACCGUGAGGGAAAGAUGAAAAGAACUUUGGAAAGAGAGUUAAACAGUACGUGAAAUUGCUGAAAGGGAAACGCUUGAAGUCAGUCGCGUUGGCUGGGGAUCAGCCUCACAAACAAGUGUGGUGUAUUUCCUGGUUGACGGGUCAGCAUCAAUUUUGACCACUGGAGAAAGGCUUGGGGAAUGUAGCAGCCCUGGCUGUGUUAUAGCCUCUUGUCAGAUACAGUGGUUGKGAUUGAGGUGUGCAGCACGCCGCGAGGCCGGGGCUAAAAUAGCCCACGUUCGUGCUUA
RNAcentral lists this ribosomal RNA (557 nucleotides) under Leucocoprinus sp. RNAcentral's name for it is "LSU rRNA". It matches the Rfam family "Eukaryotic large subunit ribosomal RNA", at positions 85 to 615 of the family's 3401-position model. Lineage: Eukaryota; Fungi; Basidiomycota; Agaricomycetes; Agaricales; Agaricaceae. The record is from RNAcentral.